This 148-nucleotide unclassified non-coding RNA is filed under the name uncultured fungus. Its description in RNAcentral is "sequence contains ITS2". The record is from RNAcentral. Lineage: Eukaryota; Fungi.
CAACCCUCAAGCCUAGCUUGGUGAUGGGCCUUCGUCCCCUGGACGGGCCUGAAAAUUAGUGGCAAUACUCUCCAGCUUCAAGCAUAGUAAAUUUGUCUUGUCUUGACGGUUGGUUGAUGUUUUGGCCAAGUGAAUUCACUUUUAUUUU